UUGAGUUCAGUUUAGUGGUAAAGCACUUGCCUUGCAUGCAUGAGGCCCUGGGUUAAUCCCCGGGAUUUCAAA
This 72-nucleotide transfer RNA is filed under the name Ictidomys tridecemlineatus (thirteen-lined ground squirrel). Its description in RNAcentral is "Spermophilus tridecemlineatus (thirteen-lined ground squirrel) tRNA". It matches the Rfam family "tRNA". Rfam says of the family: Transfer RNA (tRNA) molecules are approximately 80 nucleotides in length. Their secondary structure includes four short double-helical elements and three loops (D, anti-codon, and T loops). Lineage: Eukaryota; Metazoa; Chordata; Mammalia; Rodentia; Sciuridae. The record is from Rfam by way of RNAcentral.